RNAcentral lists this long non-coding RNA (606 nucleotides) under Sinocyclocheilus anshuiensis. RNAcentral describes it as "lncRNA (ENSSANG00000025356.1)". Lineage: Eukaryota; Metazoa; Chordata; Actinopteri; Cypriniformes; Cyprinidae. The record is from RNAcentral.
UCAAAGAUGGCGACGUUCUGAAUUCAUCAACAGCGUUUUUAGAGAGAGACCACAAAACUGGCGGGAGCAGCACCGGUGGAGGACACUGACUUUAAAACCAUCAAUGACCUAAAGACUAUAUCACGUGUCUCAAUUUAUUUCUGAAAAGCCAAAGCACAUACUCUGCUUUUUUAUGAUGGAUGGUGCCGCAGAAGAGGUUCAGCUCCAGGAAGGCACGAGGUGCUGUGAUUAACGAUGCUGCAUGGAGUCCCACCGGAGCCCCGGAGGAUGAUACAGUUGUGUAAAAACAGCUGCUUCUGUGAGGAGAUAGAGGGCUUCGGGCAGGAGGCACAACCCUCUGAGUAACACCACGGACCUGUCAAGAUGGAAACACAAGCAACAAGGGGUGGGCUGCACUGCUUGAGAUAGGAUGGAGAACAUGAGGAGGCUGAAGGUCAGGGAGGAGGGAAAUUUGAUCCAAUAUUCUAAAGAGGGAGAACAUAAACAACGCCGACUGCCACACAGCACGGUCCAUAAAUGUCUUCAGAAUAAUGUUUACAUCUCAACUGAUCUGUCAUCUGCAGGAGCCCCUGCCCCAUCAUAUGCCUCACAUGCCCUCAGCCGGAC